CAGUAGCCACGGUAAUACAGAGGGUGCGAGCGUUAAUCGGAUUUACUGGGCGUAAAGCGUGCGUAGGCGGCUUUUUAAGUAGGAUGUGAAAUCCCUGAGCUUAACUUAGGAAUUGCAUUCGAUACUGGGAAGCUAGAGUAUGGGAGAGGAUGGUAGAAUUCCAGGUGUAGCGGUGAAAUGCGUAGAGAUCUGGAGGAAUACCGAUGGCGAAGGCAGCCAUCUGGCCUAAUACUGACGCUGAGGUACGAAAGCAUGGGGAGCAAACAGGAUUAGAUACCCGAGUAGUCCCUGUCUCUUAUAC
Molecule: ribosomal RNA, 301 nt
Filed under: uncultured bacterium
Lineage: Bacteria
Description: partial 16S ribosomal RNA
Rfam family: Bacterial small subunit ribosomal RNA
Source: RNAcentral